RNAcentral lists this ribosomal RNA (319 nucleotides) under uncultured eukaryote. Its description in RNAcentral is "partial 18S ribosomal RNA". It matches the Rfam family "Eukaryotic small subunit ribosomal RNA", at positions 1470 to 1796 of the family's 1831-position model. The record is from RNAcentral.
CCCCUAGAUGUUCUGGGCCGCACGCGCGCUACACUGAACAGUUCAACAAGUCUUAACCUUGGCCGAUAGGUCUGGGUAAUCUUUGAACGCUGUUCGUGAUUGGGAUAGACCUUUGCAAUUAUGGGUCUUCAACGAGGAAUUCCUAGUAAACGCAAGUCAUCAGCUUGCAUUGAUUACGUCCCUGCCCUUUGUACACACCGCCCGUCGCACCUACCGAUUGAAUGGUCCGGUGAAAUCUCGGGACGGCGGCUUGGUCGCUUGCGUCCGACUGCUGAACUUGAUUAAACCAUAUCAUUUAGAGGAAGGUGAAGUCGUAACA